RNAcentral lists this ribosomal RNA (403 nucleotides) under Verrucomicrobiota bacterium. Its description in RNAcentral is "Verrucomicrobia bacterium partial 16S ribosomal RNA". It matches the Rfam family "Bacterial small subunit ribosomal RNA", at positions 355 to 776 of the family's 1533-position model. The record is from RNAcentral. Lineage: Bacteria; Pseudomonadati; Verrucomicrobiota.
UGGGGAAUAUUGCACAAUGGGCGCAAGCCUGAUGCAGCAACGCCGCGUGAACGAUGAAGGUCUUCGGAUCGUAAAGUUCUGUUGCAGGGGAAGAUAAUGACGGUACCCUGUGAGGAAGCCCCGGCUAACUACGUGCCAGCAGCCGCGGUAAUACGUAGGGGGCUAGCGUUAUCCGGAUUUACUGGGCGUAAAGGGUGCGUAGGUGGUCUUUCAAGUCGGUGGUUAAAGGCUACGGCUCAACCGUAGUUAGCCUCCGAAACUGGAAGACUUGAGUGCAGGAGAGGAAAGUGGAAUUCCCAGUGUAGCGCUGAAAUGCGUAGAUAUUGGGAGGAACACCAGUAGCGAAGGCGGCUUUCUGGACUGCAACUGACACUGAGGCACGAAAGCGUGGGUAGCAAACAGG